This 333-nucleotide RNase P RNA is filed under the name uncultured Coprobacter sp. RNAcentral describes it as "Bacterial RNase P class A". It matches the Rfam family "Bacterial RNase P class A". Rfam says of the family: Ribonuclease P (RNase P) is a ubiquitous endoribonuclease, found in archaea, bacteria and eukarya as well as chloroplasts and mitochondria. The record is from RNAcentral. Lineage: Bacteria; Pseudomonadati; Bacteroidota; Bacteroidia; Bacteroidales; Barnesiellaceae.
AGUCUGUCGCUCAUGGCAACAUGUGAGGAAAGUCCGGGCAACACAGAGCACCAUAUUUCCUAACGGGAAGCUAUUCGUAAGAAUAGAGUAACGUAACAGAAAAUAACCGCUGCUUGCAGUAAGGGUGAAAAGGUGAGGUGAGAGCUCACCGGUUUUCGUGGUGACACGAGAAGCCGUACGUCUUAUGGGUUGUAAGGUUAUGUAUACCGGCGCAGUAGGGCUGCUCGUCCGAUGUCGGGGGGUAAACCGCUAAAGCUUUAUGGUGACAUAAAGACAAGAUAAAUGACAGACACCUUUUUAUAAGGUACAGAACCCGGCUUAUCGUUCUGCUGU